RNAcentral lists this non-coding RNA (180 nucleotides) under Eubacteriales Family XIII. Incertae Sedis bacterium. RNAcentral's name for it is "6S RNA". It matches the Rfam family "6S / SsrS RNA". Rfam says of the family: E. coli 6S RNA was the first non coding RNA to be sequenced, but its function was unknown until recently. It consists of 184 nucleotides that fold into an extended hairpin structure with a large single-stranded internal bulge. Lineage: Bacteria; Bacillati; Bacillota; Clostridia; Peptostreptococcales; Anaerovoracaceae. The record is from RNAcentral.
AACCACCUGGGACGUACGAGAAGGUUGUUUGUAAAUAUCCAACAUUGAGUACACGGGACGCCGGGUCAAGUGCGUGGCUGUCGGGCCGGCUCCGAUCGGAUGGCAAAAGCGCGCUGCAGGCAACCCACCUAACGUUGUUAGGGUACUUGACAGCAACCGAACCGGCGCCCCGGGGGUUCU